RNAcentral lists this microRNA (22 nucleotides) under Sarcophilus harrisii (Tasmanian devil). RNAcentral's name for it is "Sha-Mir-30-P2d_3p* (star (passenger))". The record is from RNAcentral. Lineage: Eukaryota; Metazoa; Chordata; Mammalia; Dasyuromorphia; Dasyuridae. RNAcentral also lists the same sequence under 3 other names.
CUGGGAGAGGGCUGUUUACUCC